UCAAACUUGGUCAUUUAGAGGAAGUAAAAGUCGUAACAAGGUUUCCGUAGGUGAACCUGCGGAAGGAUCAUUAGCGAGGACUUGAAAAAAGGGGCUGUAGCUGGCCCACGAUUGUGGGCAAAGUGCACGCCUGUUAUCCACACAAUUUCACACAUGUGCACGACUGUAGCGGCACCCCCGCUACGAUUGCAGUUACGAUAAAAUGUAUAGAAAAAAAAAAAAAGACUUUUGGUGAUCAGACAAAGGAUGUCAUAACAACUUUCAGCAACGGAUCUCUUGGCUCUCGCAUCGAUGAAGAACGCAGC
This 305-nucleotide unclassified non-coding RNA is filed under the name uncultured fungus. RNAcentral describes it as "partial contains small subunit ribosomal RNA, internal transcribed spacer 1, and 5.8S ribosomal RNA". The stretch from base 1 to 73 matches the Rfam family "Eukaryotic small subunit ribosomal RNA", at positions 1759 to 1831 of the family's 1831-position model. Lineage: Eukaryota; Fungi. The record is from RNAcentral.